RNAcentral lists this transfer RNA (73 nucleotides) under Bos taurus (domestic cattle). It matches the Rfam family "tRNA". From Rfam's summary of the family: Transfer RNA (tRNA) molecules are approximately 80 nucleotides in length. Lineage: Eukaryota; Metazoa; Chordata; Mammalia; Artiodactyla; Bovidae. RNAcentral also lists the same sequence under 4 other names. The record is from Rfam by way of RNAcentral.
UCCCUGGUAGCUUAGCUGGUAAAGAAUCUGCCUGCAACACAGGAGAACCUGGGUUUGAUUCCUGGGUUGGGAA